Molecule: ribosomal RNA, 253 nt
Filed under: uncultured bacterium
Lineage: Bacteria
Description: partial 16S ribosomal RNA
Rfam family: Bacterial small subunit ribosomal RNA
Source: RNAcentral
GACGAACCGUGCAAACGUUGUUCGGAAUCACUGGGCUUAAAGGGCGCGUAGGCGGACAACCAAGUCCGGGGUGAACGCUCCCGGCUUAACCGGGAAAGUGCCUUGGAUACUGGUUGUCUUGAGGGAGAUAGGGGCGAGUGGAACUUCCGGUGGAGCGGUGAAAUGCGUUGAUAUCGGAAGGAACGCCGGUGGCGAAAGCGACUCGCUGGACCUUUUCUGACGCUGAGGCGCGAAAGCCAGGGGAGCGAACGGG